UACUAGAGUAGCACUCGCAUAUCAAUAAGCGGAGGAAAAGAAACUAACAAGGAUUCCCCUAGUAACGGCGAGUGAAGCGGGAAGAGCUCAAAUUUGAAAUCUUAAAGGGUUUCCCUUUACGAAUUGUAGUUUAAAGAAGUGUUUUCUGUUGAGGUUUUGGUAAAAGUUCUUUGGAAUAGGACAUCAUAGAGGGUGAGAAUCCCGUAUUUGACCUUUACUUUCAACUUUGUGAUACACUUUCAAAGAGUCGGAUUGUUUGGGAAUGCAGUCCAAAAUGGGUGGUAAAUUUCAUCUAAAGCCUAAAUAUUGGCGAGAGACCGAUAGCGAACAAGUACCGUGAGGGAAAGAUGAAAAGAACUUUGAAAAGAGAGUUAAACAGUACGUGAAAUUGUCAAAAGGGAAGCGUUUGACACCAGUGUUGUUUUUCUGAAAAUCAAUUAAAGAACUGUUUAUGCUAAGCUUGUUUAGACUUUAUCAGCUAUCUGUUUAGUUUUGAGCUUUUCUUUAAUGCACUUUUCAGUUAACAAGUCAACAUCAAUUUCUUUUGCUGUAAAAAAGCUUGAGGAAGGUGGCUUGAGAUUCGUCUUAAGUGUUUAUAGCCUCUUGCCUAUGCAGUCGGAGAGAUUGAGGUCUGCAGCGUAGAUCCUUCGGGGCUAAAUGCAUUUGUGCUAAGUUAUAGCAUUUUAUAGACAACUUGUUGACUAUGAUUAGUCUUGUAGCUUACUCGCUUAUGUUAUUUUACCUACGCUUAGGAUGUUGAUCUACAGAGCGAGAGU
Molecule: ribosomal RNA, 776 nt
Filed under: uncultured Neocallimastigales
Lineage: Eukaryota; Fungi; Neocallimastigomycota; Neocallimastigomycetes; Neocallimastigales
Description: partial large subunit ribosomal RNA
Rfam family: Eukaryotic large subunit ribosomal RNA
Source: RNAcentral